Molecule: ribosomal RNA, 267 nt
Filed under: Skeletonema marinoi
Lineage: Eukaryota; Bacillariophyta; Thalassiosirophyceae; Thalassiosirales; Thalassiosiraceae
Description: partial Bacterial large subunit ribosomal RNA
Rfam family: Bacterial large subunit ribosomal RNA
Source: RNAcentral
GACUGGGGCGGUCGCCUCCUAAAGAGUAACGGAGGCGUACGAAGGUAAGCUCAAAUUGAUAAAACUCAAUUGAAGAGCAUAAUAGUAUAGUGCUUGCUUGACUGAAAGAUUGACAAAUCGAACAGGGACGAAAGUCGGUUAUAGUGAUCCGGUGACUCUGAGUGGAAAAGGUCAUCGCUCAACGGAUAAAAGGUACUCCGGGGAUAACAGGCUGAUACCGCCCAAGAGUUCAUAUCGACGGCGGUGUUUGGCACCUCGAUGUCGGCU